RNAcentral lists this transfer RNA (89 nucleotides) under Planctomycetota bacterium. Its description in RNAcentral is "tRNA-Ser". It matches the Rfam family "tRNA". From Rfam's summary of the family: Transfer RNA (tRNA) molecules are approximately 80 nucleotides in length. Their secondary structure includes four short double-helical elements and three loops (D, anti-codon, and T loops). RNAcentral also lists the same sequence under 1 other name. The record is from RNAcentral. Lineage: Bacteria; Pseudomonadati; Planctomycetota.
GGACAGGUGGCCGAGUGGCUGAAGGCACCGGUUUGCUAAACCGGCGUACCUCGUUAGGGGUACCGCGGGUUCGAAUCCCGCCCUGUCCG